GGGAAUUUUUCCGCAAUGGGCGAAAGCCUGACGGAGCAACGCCGCGUGAGGGAUGAAGGCCUCUGGGCUGUAAACCUCUUUUAUCAAGGAAGAAGAUCUGACGGUACUUGAUGAAUAAGCCACGGCUAAUUCCGUGCCAGCAGCCGCGGUAAUACGGGAGUGGCAAGCGUUAUCCGGAAUUAUUGGGCGUAAAGCGUCCGCAGGCGGUCUUGUAAGUCUGUCGUUAAAGCGUGGAGCUUAACUCCAUUUCGGCGGUGGAAACUGCAAGACUAGAGUGUGGUAGGGGCAGAGGGAAUUCCCGGUGUAGCGGUGAAAUGCGUAGAUAUCGGGAAGAACACCAGUGGCGAAGGCGCUCUGCUGGGCCAUAACUGACGCUCAUGGACGAAAGCUAGGGGAGCGAAAGGGAUUAGAUACCCCAGUAGUC
This 424-nucleotide ribosomal RNA is filed under the name uncultured cyanobacterium. Its description in RNAcentral is "bacterial SSU rRNA". It matches the Rfam family "Bacterial small subunit ribosomal RNA", at positions 356 to 795 of the family's 1533-position model. Lineage: Bacteria; Bacillati; Cyanobacteriota. The record is from RNAcentral.